AAUGCUUAGGAAUCUGCCUAUUAGUGGGGGACAACAUUCCGAAAGGAAUGCUAAUACCGCAUACGCCCUACGGGGGAAAGCAGGGGAUCUUCGGACCUUGCGCUAAUAGAUGAGCCUAAGUCGGAUUAGCUAGUUGGUGGGGUAAAGGCCUACCAAGGCGACGAUCUGUAGCGGGUCUGAGAGGAUGAUCCGCCACACUGGGACUGAGACACGGCCCAGACUCCUACGGGAGGCAGCAGUGGGGAAUAUUGGACAAUGGGCGAAAGCCUGAUCCAGCCAUGCCGCGUGUGUGAAGAAGGCCUUUAGGUUGUAAAGCACUUUAAGCGAGGAGGAGGCUACUGAGAUUAAUACUCUUGGAUAGUGGACGUUACUCGCAGAAUAAGCACCGGCUAACUCUGUGCCAGCAGCCGCGGUAAUACAGAGGGUGCGAGCGUUAAUCGGAUUUACUGGGCGUAAAGCGUGCGUAGGCGGCUUUUUAAGUCGGAUGUGAAAUCCCUGAGCUUAACUUAGGAAUUGCAUUCGAUACUGGGAAGCUAGAGUAUGGGAGAGGAUGGUAGAAUUCCAGGUGUAGCGGUGAAAUGCGUAGAGAUCUGGAGG
Molecule: ribosomal RNA, 597 nt
Filed under: uncultured bacterium
Lineage: Bacteria
Description: bacterial SSU rRNA
Rfam family: Bacterial small subunit ribosomal RNA
Source: RNAcentral